UACGGAGGGCGCAAGCGUUAAUCGGAAUCACUGGGCGUAAAGCGCGCGUAGGCUGUUUGAUAAGUCAGACGUGAAAUCCCUCGGCUCAACCGGGGAACUGCGUUUGAUACUGUCGAACUCGAGUCCUGGAGAGGGUGGCGGAAUUCCUGGUGUAGGAGUGAAAUCCGUAGAUAUCAGGAGGAACACCGGUGGCGAAGGCGGCCACCUGGACAGGUACUGACGCUGAGGUGCGAAAGCGUGGGGAGCAAACAGG
RNAcentral lists this ribosomal RNA (253 nucleotides) under uncultured bacterium. RNAcentral describes it as "partial 16S ribosomal RNA". It matches the Rfam family "Bacterial small subunit ribosomal RNA", at positions 524 to 776 of the family's 1533-position model. The record is from RNAcentral.